RNAcentral lists this ribosomal RNA (403 nucleotides) under Bacteroidota bacterium. RNAcentral's name for it is "Bacteroidetes bacterium partial 16S ribosomal RNA". It matches the Rfam family "Bacterial small subunit ribosomal RNA", at positions 355 to 776 of the family's 1533-position model. The record is from RNAcentral. Lineage: Bacteria; Pseudomonadati; Bacteroidota.
UGGGGAAUUUUGCACAAUGGAGGGAACUCUGAUGCAGCGACGCCGCGUGAACGAAGAAGGUUUUCGAAUCGUAAAGUUCUGUCCUGGGUGAAGAUAAUGACGGUAAUCCAGGAGGAAGCCCCGGCUAACUACGUGCCAGCAGCCGCGGUAAUACGUAAGGUCCGAGCGUUGUCCGGAAUCAUUGGGCGUAAAGGGUACGUAGGCGGGUAAGCAAGUUAGAAGUGAAAUCCUGUAGCUCAACUACAGUAAGCUUUUAAAACUGCUCAUCUUGAGAUAUGGAAGGGAAAGUGGAAUUCCUAGUGUAGCGGUGAAAUGCGCAGAUAUUAGGAGGAAUACCGGUGGCGAAGGCGACUCUCUGGUCUGUAACUGACGCUGAGGUUCGAAAGCGUGGGUAGCAAACAGG